UCCCCGUUGGCUCAGAUGGUAAAGCAUCUGCCUACAACGCGGGAGACCUGGGUUCGAUCCCUGGGUUGGGAA
This 72-nucleotide transfer RNA is filed under the name Ovis aries (sheep). It matches the Rfam family "tRNA". Rfam says of the family: Transfer RNA (tRNA) molecules are approximately 80 nucleotides in length. Their secondary structure includes four short double-helical elements and three loops (D, anti-codon, and T loops). The record is from Rfam by way of RNAcentral. Lineage: Eukaryota; Metazoa; Chordata; Mammalia; Artiodactyla; Bovidae.